RNAcentral lists this long non-coding RNA (305 nucleotides) under Phoenix dactylifera (date palm). Its description in RNAcentral is "long non-coding RNA (PDAC_LNC018650)". Lineage: Eukaryota; Viridiplantae; Streptophyta; Magnoliopsida; Arecales; Arecaceae. The record is from RNAcentral.
CCUCUUGGCUUGUCACCUUGGGCAACAAGUGGUAUCAGAGCAGGUGCUCUAUAAUUCCUUGCCUUUUUGAUUUUGACCUAACCGUCUAAAAGCCAAAGAUCAUGACAACUCAAAUAGACAGUUUUCUAGGAGAGGGACAGUUAAUUGAUCGACCUCCACUAUUUAAUGGCAUAAACUACACACAUUGGAAAGCACGCAUGCGCAUUUUUAUUCAAGCACAUGACUAUGAUUUAUGGAGUAUCAUAGUCAACGGGCUACACACAAACACUAAUCAUGAUAAGAAAAUGGCUCAGCAAAAUGCAAAA